This 595-nucleotide ribosomal RNA is filed under the name soil fungal sp. DM2-295. Its description in RNAcentral is "eukaryotic LSU rRNA". It matches the Rfam family "Eukaryotic large subunit ribosomal RNA", at positions 113 to 733 of the family's 3401-position model. The record is from RNAcentral. Lineage: Eukaryota; Fungi.
AUUUGAAAUCUGGCCCCCAGGGCCCGAGUUGUAAUUUGCAGAGGAUGCUUUUGGCGCGGUGCCUUCCGAGUUCCCUGGAACGGGACGCCAUAGAGGGUGAGAGCCCCGUCUGGUCGGACGCCUAGCCUGUGUAAAGCUCCUUCGACGAGUCGAGUAGUUUGGGAAUGCUGCUCUAAAUGGGAGGUAUAUGUCUUCUAAAGCUAAAUACCGGCCAGAGACCGAUAGCGCACAAGUAGAGUGAUCGAAAGAUGAAAAGCACUUUGAAAAGAGGGUUAAAUAGUACGUGAAAUUGUUGAAAGGGAAGCGCUUGUGACCAGACUUGGGCCCGGUGGAUCAUCCAGCGUUCUCGCUGGUGCACUCCGCCGGGUUCAGGCCAGCAUCAGUUCGCCGCGGGGGAAAAAGGCUUCGGGAACGUGGCUCCUACGGGAGUGUUAUAGCCCGUUGCAUAAUACCCUGGGGCGGACUGAGGUUCGCGCUCCGCAAGGAUGCUGGCGUAAUGGUCAUCAGCGACCCGUCUUGAAACACGGACCAAGGAGUCGUCUUCGUAUGCGAGUGUUCGGGUGUAAAACCCCUACGCGUAAUGAAAGUGAACGCA